ACAUACUGUUAAGUUUAUUAUUUAUGAGAUUGCUAUUUCUGGUUUCUUAUAUAAUAGCAUUAUGCCAGGAUGCUCUAAUGUUAAUGUCUGCAGAACUAUGUGCACAUUAAAAGCAGACUGAGUCACGCUUUAAAUAAAAAAAGACAGCCUGAAAUCCUAUCUCCUCUUACACCUAAUGAUUUGCACAAAUCAUAAAUGCAUCGCAACAUAUACAGAACCCAUUCAUUCUAUAUUAUUCAAGCCCAAGUAUUAAACUGAGAUUUACCCUAAAAUAAUAUGUAUAAUAUCCUGUGAAAUGUAUUGCUUCUUUAAAAAUUUAAAUAAUGUUGACAUGUACACUAGGCUCAUUACAACUUCAGUGCUGCAUUUUGCAAAUAAAAAAUAAAAAAUUAAAAAACUGUAUGAACUCUACAUAGUUAUUCUUCCAAAUCUGGGCAAAUGUAAAACACCCUUCCUCUCUCUUGCCCACAUGCACAUACCGAUUUAAAUUUAAUACUAGACAUUGUUUUGGAAUUAUACAGAACUACACUAUCAAAUCUAGACAGGCAUAAACCCUAUCAUUUAGACACACACACAAGACAGACCCACCUCCUUUUGAAAUUCGGCUUUGCUUGGAGUUAGAAAGCACAAUAUGGCUUGGUGUGACCUCCUAUACACAUACUUUUUCUCAUUGGUAACCAGCUGAGCCAUAGACAUGCCCUUAUAAAUCCUUUUAAUUAAAAUGUCUUUUUUUCACAAAGGUCAAUGUAUUGGGAGGGAAAAUGCCCUGUCAGAGCAUGCUUUGACAUGCAAGAAAAUUUAACUAUAUAAGAACCUUUUACACACAUUCCCUUAAAAAGACAGGAUAGACACGACUACGGUUCCUGUUAAAAGUACUAAUUGAUUGGAGGAAAUGACUCUCUGUUACUCUUUAUCUCCCCUCCACCCCAAGUGAUUCUGUAUUACAAUGAAAUUGUGGUCUUUCCAUUGAUAGAGAUUGCAGUGACCUCUGGUGGAGAUUUUGGAAAAAUAUACCUAUGAAACCAGCAGAAACUCAUGACUUCCAAGGAGUCUGGCCCAAAUAAAGAGAGACUUCCUAUAUGUACAUGUGAGCAACAAUGAGUAACUCAGAAGCUGUGCCGAAGUUGCUUUAGUCAACUCGAACUCCCUAAGGUAGACCACUUCAACCUGCAGCAAGGCAUAACAUUAAAUGUGGAACAUAUCAUACAUAAAACAGGAUUAGACCUGGAUGAAGGAGGCAUGAAAACUGGAGAAUGGAAUAUCAGCAAUUUAAGAUAUACAGAUGACAUCACACUGCCACCAGAAAAUAUAAAAUACUUGGAACGGUUACUGAAGAAAGUAAAGGAAGAAAGUACAAAAUGUAGUCAAACAUUAAGAAAACAAAAAUAAUGACCACAGAUUAUAUAUAACUUUAAAGUGGACAUUGAAGACAUUUAAAUAGUUAAAGAUUUGCCACAAUUUGGUUUAGUCAUUAAUCAGAAUGGAAACUGCAAUCAAGAAACCAGAAGAGUAGCACUUGGAAUAGCAGCUGUAAAGGAAAUAUACAAAAUCUUGAUAUAUAAAGAUAUAUAAUUGA
Long non-coding RNA from Anolis carolinensis (green anole), 1576 nucleotides. RefSeq lists it as uncharacterized. The transcript has 4 exons. NCBI's taxonomy places the organism in Eukaryota, Metazoa, Chordata, Lepidosauria, Squamata, Anolidae. The record is from RefSeq and is a predicted model, not a curated record.